CUACGGGGGGCAGCAGCUAAGAAUCUUCCACAAUGGACGCAAGUCUGAUGGAGCGACGCCGCGUGGGUGAUGAAGGCGGAAACGUUGUAAAGCCCUUUUAUAGGCGAGGAAUAAGAUUCGGAGGGAAUGCCGGGUCGAUGACGUUAGCCUAUGAAUAAGCCCCGGCUAAUUACGUGCCAGCAGCCGCGGUAACACGUAUGGGGCGAGCGUUGUUCGGAAUUAUUGGGCGUAAAGGGUACGCAGGCGGUUGUACAAGUCUGGUGUUAAAGCCCGCAGCUUAACUGCGGAAAGGCAUUGGAAACUGUAUAACUAGAGUUCUGGAGGGGUAGCUGGAAUUCCAGGUGUAGGGGUGAAAUCUGUAGAUAUCUGGAAGAACAUCAAUGGCGAAGGCAAGCUACUAGCCAUGAACUGACGCUGAGGUACGAAAGUGUGGGGAGCGAACAGGAUUAGAUACCCCGGUAGUC
RNAcentral lists this ribosomal RNA (464 nucleotides) under uncultured bacterium. RNAcentral describes it as "partial 16S ribosomal RNA". It matches the Rfam family "Bacterial small subunit ribosomal RNA", at positions 339 to 795 of the family's 1533-position model. The record is from RNAcentral.